This 69-nucleotide transfer RNA is filed under the name Ictidomys tridecemlineatus (thirteen-lined ground squirrel). RNAcentral describes it as "Spermophilus tridecemlineatus (thirteen-lined ground squirrel) tRNA". It matches the Rfam family "tRNA". Rfam says of the family: Transfer RNA (tRNA) molecules are approximately 80 nucleotides in length. Their secondary structure includes four short double-helical elements and three loops (D, anti-codon, and T loops). The record is from Rfam by way of RNAcentral. Lineage: Eukaryota; Metazoa; Chordata; Mammalia; Rodentia; Sciuridae.
GGGGUUGUGGCUCAAUGGUAGAGUGCUUGCUCAACAAGUGUGAGGCCCUGGGUUCAAUUCCCAGCACCA